UAGGGAAUCUUCGGCAAUGGGGGGAACCCUGACCGAGCAACGCCGCGUGAGUGAAGAAGGUUUUCGGAUCGUAAAGCUCUGUUGUUAAGGAAGAACGAGUGUGAGAAUGGAAAGUUCAUACUGUGACGGUACUUAACCAGAAAGGGACGGCUAACUACGUGCCAGCAGCCGCGGUAAUACGUAGGUCCCGAGCGUUGUCCGGAUUUAUUGGGCGUAAAGCGAGCGCAGGCGGUCAAUUAAGUCUGAUGUGAAAGCCCCCGGCUCAACCGGGGAGGGUCAUUGGAAACUGGUUGACUUGAGUGCAGAAGAGGAGAGUGGAAUUCCAUGUGUAGCGGUGAAGUGCGUAGAUAUAUGGAGGAACACCAGUGGCGAAGGCGACUCUCUGGUCUGUAACUGACGCUGAGGCUCGAAAGCGUGGGUAGCAAACAGG
This 430-nucleotide ribosomal RNA is filed under the name Bacteroidota bacterium. RNAcentral's name for it is "Bacteroidetes bacterium partial 16S ribosomal RNA". It matches the Rfam family "Bacterial small subunit ribosomal RNA", at positions 355 to 776 of the family's 1533-position model. The record is from RNAcentral. Lineage: Bacteria; Pseudomonadati; Bacteroidota.